AUUGACAGAAGAAAAAAAAACUGAAAA
This 27-nucleotide small RNA is filed under the name Arabidopsis thaliana (thale cress). RNAcentral describes it as "ATSL239540". Lineage: Eukaryota; Viridiplantae; Streptophyta; Magnoliopsida; Brassicales; Brassicaceae. The record is from RNAcentral.